This 481-nucleotide ribosomal RNA is filed under the name Deccanometrus latimanus. RNAcentral's name for it is "Heterometrus latimanus partial large subunit ribosomal RNA". It matches the Rfam family "Bacterial large subunit ribosomal RNA", at positions 1832 to 2600 of the family's 2925-position model. Lineage: Eukaryota; Metazoa; Arthropoda; Arachnida; Scorpiones; Scorpionidae. The record is from RNAcentral.
GGUUUUUAGAAAGUAUUAAAAGUCAGACCUGCUCAAUGAAAAUUAAAUAGCCGCAGUAUUAUGACUGUGCAAAGGUAGCAUAAUAAUUUGUCUUUUAAUUUAGGACUGGAAUGAACGGUUAGACCAGGUGACCUUGUCUUAGGAUUAUAUUUUGAAUUUUAUAUUUUAGUAAAAAAGCUAAAAUUUAUUUCAGGGACGAGAAGACCCUAUCAAACUUUACAAGCUAAUCUUUUUCUCUUAAAAUGGAGUAAACUUGUUUUACUGGGGCAGUAGGGAAAGUAAUAUUUCUUAUUUAUUGUGAAUCUUCUUCUUGGAAGACCAAGAAUUUCUUAAAAAAAAAUAAGUUACUGUAGGGAUAACAGCGUAAUUCUUUUUUAGAGUUCUUAUCGAUAUAAGAGUUUGCGACCUCGAUGUUGGAUUAAAAUUCCUUUCUCGCGCAGUAGGGGGAGAAGGAGGUCUGUUCGACUUUUAAAAUUUUCCA